CUACGGGAGGCAGCAGUGGGGAAUAUUGCACAAUGGGCGCAAGCCUGAUGCAGCCAUGCCGCGUGUAUGAAGAAGGCCUUCGGGUUGUAAAGUACUUUCAGCGGGGAGGAAGGGAGUAAAGUUAAUACCUUUGCUCAUUGACGUUACCCGCAGAAGAAGCACCGGCUAACUCCGUGCCAGCAGCCGCGGUAAUACGGAGGGUGCAAGCGUUAAUCGGAAUUACUGGGCGUAAAGCGCACGCAGGCGGUUUGUUAAGUCAGAUGUGAAAUCCCCGGGCUCAACCUGGGAACUGCACCUGAUACUGGCAAGCUUGAGUCUCGUAGAGGGGGGUAGAAUUCUAGGUGUAGCGGUGAAAUGCGUAGAGAUCUGGAGGAAUACCGGUGGCGAAGGCGGCCCCCUGGACGAAGACUGACGCUCAGGUGCGAAAGCGUGGGGAGCAAACAGGAUUAGAUACCCGCGUAGUC
RNAcentral lists this ribosomal RNA (464 nucleotides) under uncultured bacterium. RNAcentral's name for it is "partial 16S ribosomal RNA". It matches the Rfam family "Bacterial small subunit ribosomal RNA", at positions 339 to 795 of the family's 1533-position model. The record is from RNAcentral.